UUACCUUGAGAAUUUGAGCCUAUUUGACUAUGUUGUGAUCUAGGCAUCUCAUCCUUUAAAUUUGAUUUAGCAUUUGAAGCUUAUUCUAUUGUACUUAGAGAUCUUUCAUUAUCCACAUCUCACGUGACUCUAAUAAAGCUUGUAAAUCAUUAACACCUCGUUUGGAAUGUGGUGAAUGAUAGAAUUUUAAUAUAUGAUACUCCACAGG
This 208-nucleotide long non-coding RNA is filed under the name Carica papaya (papaya). Its description in RNAcentral is "long non-coding RNA (CPAP_LNC008429)". Lineage: Eukaryota; Viridiplantae; Streptophyta; Magnoliopsida; Brassicales; Caricaceae. The record is from RNAcentral.